UGGCUCAGGAUGAACGCUGGCGGCGUGCCUAAUACAUGCAAGUCGAGCGAACGGACGAGAAGCUUGCUUCUCUGAUGUUAGCGGCGGACGGGUGAGUAACACGUGGAUAACCUACCUAUAAGACUGGGAUAACUUCGGGAAACCGGAGCUAAUACCGGAUAAUAUUUUGAACCGCAUGGUUCAAAAGUGAAAGACGGUCUUGCUGUCACUUAUAGAUGGAUCCGCGCUGCAUUAGCUAGUUGGUAAGGUAACGGCUUACCAAGGCAACGAUGCAUAGCCGACCUGAGAGGGUGAUCGGCCACACUGGAACUGAGACACGGUCCAGACUCCUACGGGAGGCAGCAGUAGGGAAUCUUCCGCAAUGGGCGAAAGCCUGACGGAGCAACGCCGCGUGAGUGAUGAAGGUCUUCGGAUCGUAAAACUCUGUUAUUAGGGAAGAACAUAUGUGUAAGUAACUGUGCACAUCUUGACGGUACCUAAUCAGAAAGCCACGGCUAACUACGUGCCAGCAGCCGCGGUAAUACGUAGGUGGCAAGCGUUAUCCGGAAUUAUUGGGCGUAAAGCGCGCGUAGGCGGUUUUUUAAGUCUGAUGUGAAAGCCCACGGCUCAACCGUGGAGGGUCAUUGGAAACUGGAAAACUUGAGUGCAGAAGAGGAAAGUGGAAUUCCAUGUGUAGCGGUGAAAUGCGCAGAGAUAUGGAGGAACACCAGUGGCGAAGGCGACUUUCUGGUCUGUAACUGACGCUGAUGUGCGAAAGCGUGGGGAUCAAACAGGAUUAGAUACCCUGGUAGUCCACGCCGUAAACGA
RNAcentral lists this ribosomal RNA (807 nucleotides) under Staphylococcus aureus. Its description in RNAcentral is "bacterial SSU rRNA". It matches the Rfam family "Bacterial small subunit ribosomal RNA", at positions 20 to 809 of the family's 1533-position model. The record is from RNAcentral. RNAcentral also lists the same sequence under 1 other name. Lineage: Bacteria; Bacillati; Bacillota; Bacilli; Caryophanales; Staphylococcaceae.